This 580-nucleotide ribosomal RNA is filed under the name Pterosthetops harrisoni. RNAcentral's name for it is "partial large subunit ribosomal RNA". It matches the Rfam family "Bacterial large subunit ribosomal RNA", at positions 1825 to 2650 of the family's 2925-position model. The record is from RNAcentral. Lineage: Eukaryota; Metazoa; Arthropoda; Insecta; Coleoptera; Hydraenidae.
GUCUUUUUGAUAANUAANUUUAAAGUCUAGUCUGCCCAAUGNANNAUUANUUGAAUGGCCGCGGNNUAUUUUGACUGUGCAAAGGUAGCAUAAUAAUUAGUUUUUUAAUUGAAAGCUGGUAUGAAUGGCUGAACGAGAAAAUUACUGUCUCAAAUUNAAAUUUAUUAAAAUUUUAUUUUUAAGUUAAAAAGCUUAGAUAUAAUUAAAAGACGAGAAGACCCUAUAGAGUUUNAAUAAUUCAAUUANAUUNNUUNUANUUUUAGNAAUUNUNNNAUUUAAUUNAGUUUAAUUAUUUUAUUGGGGUGAUAUAUAAAUUUAAUAAACUUUANUNAAAUNUUUUUACAUUUUUUUAUGAUUAAGUGAUCCAUUAUUNUAUGAUUAUAAGAUUUAAUUACCUUAGGGAUAACAGCGUAAUCUUUUUAAAGAGUUCUAAUCGAAAAAAAGGAUUGCGACCUCGAUGUUGGAUUAAAAUUAAUGUUUGGUGUAGAAGCUNAANAUAAUUAGGUCUGUUCGACCUUUAAAAUUUUACAUGAUCUGAGUUUAAAUCGGUGUGAGCCAGGUUGUUUUCUAUCUUUAAUAA